GACGAACGCUGGCGGCGUGCUUAACACAUGCAAGUCGAACGGAAAGGCCCUGCUUUUGUGGGGUGCUCGAGUGGCGAACGGGUGAGUAACACGUGAGUAACCUGCCCUUGACUUUGGGAUAACUUCAGGAAACUGGGGCUAAUACCGGAUAGGAGCUCCUGCUGCAUGGUGGGGGUUGGAAAGUUUCGGCGGUUGGGGAUGGACUCGCGGCUGAUCGGCGGGUUGGUGGGGUAGUGGCUUACCAAGGCUUUGACGGGUAGCCGGCCUGCGAGGGUGACCGGCCACAUUGGGACUGAGAUACGGCCCAGACUCCUACGGGAGGCAGCAGUGGGGAAUAUUGCACAAUGGGCGGAAGCCUGAUGCAGCAACGCCGCGUGCGGGAUGACGGCCUUCGGGUUGUAAACCGCUUUCGCCUGUGACGAAGCGUGAGUGACGGUAAUGGGUAAAGAAGCACCGGCUAACUACGUG
This 468-nucleotide ribosomal RNA is filed under the name uncultured bacterium. Its description in RNAcentral is "partial 16S ribosomal RNA". It matches the Rfam family "Bacterial small subunit ribosomal RNA", at positions 28 to 507 of the family's 1533-position model. The record is from RNAcentral.